AACGAACGCUGGCGGUGUGCCUCAUACAUGCAAGUCGUACGCGAAUCCUGCCGCAAGGCAGGGUUUGAGUGGCAAACGGGUGCGUAACACGUAGGUAAUCUUCCUUUGAGUUGGGGAUAAGCCCUCGAAAGGGGUCGUAAUACGAAUAACACUUCGGGCCGGCAUCGGCCUGAAAUUAAAGUAAUGGCCUCCUGCUUGCAAGCUAUCGCUCGGAGAUGAGCCU
RNAcentral lists this ribosomal RNA (223 nucleotides) under uncultured bacterium. RNAcentral's name for it is "partial 16S ribosomal RNA". It matches the Rfam family "Bacterial small subunit ribosomal RNA", at positions 29 to 232 of the family's 1533-position model. The record is from RNAcentral.